This 62-nucleotide transfer RNA is filed under the name Philopona vibex. Its description in RNAcentral is "tRNA-His". Lineage: Eukaryota; Metazoa; Arthropoda; Insecta; Coleoptera; Chrysomelidae. The record is from RNAcentral.
AUUUAAAUAGUUUAAUUAAAAUAUUGAUUUGUGGAGUCAAAGUUAACUUUGGUUUUUAAAUU